GCGUGCCUAAUACAUGCAAGUCGAGCGAACAGACGAGGAGCUUGCUCCUCUGACGUUAGCGGCGGACGGGUGAGUAACACGUGGAUAACCCACCUAUAAGACUGGGAUAACUUCGGGAAACCGGAGCUAAUACCGGAUAAUAUAUUGAACCGCAUGGUUCAAUAGUGAAAGACGGUUUUGCUGUCACUUAUAGAUGGAUCCGCGCCGCAUUAGCUAGUUGGUAAGGUAACGGCUUACCAAGGCGACGAUGCGUAGCCGAACUGAGAGGGUGAUCGGCCACACUGGAACUGAGACACGGUCCAGACUCCUACGGGAGGCAGCAGUAGGGAAUCUUCCGCAAUGGGCGAAAGCCUGACGGAGCAACGCCGCGUGAGUGAUGAAGGUCUUCGGAUCGUAAAACUCUGUUAUUAGGGAAGAACAAAUGUGUAAGUAACUAUGCACGUCUUGACGGUACCUAAUCAGAAAGCCACGGCUAACUACGUGCCAGCAGCCGCGGUAAUACGUAGGUGGCAAGCGUUAUCCGGAAUUAUUGGGCGUAAAGCGCGCGUAGGCGGUUUUUUAAGUCUGAUGUGAAAGCCCACGGCUCAACCGUGGAGGGUCAUUGGGAACUGGAAAACUUGAGUGCAGAAGAGGAAAGUGGAAUUCCAUGUGUAGCGGUGAAAUGCGCAGAGAUAUGGAGGAACACCAGUGGCGAAGGCGACUUUCUGGU
RNAcentral lists this ribosomal RNA (709 nucleotides) under uncultured Staphylococcus sp. Its description in RNAcentral is "bacterial SSU rRNA". It matches the Rfam family "Bacterial small subunit ribosomal RNA", at positions 42 to 733 of the family's 1533-position model. Lineage: Bacteria; Bacillati; Bacillota; Bacilli; Caryophanales; Staphylococcaceae. The record is from RNAcentral.